Molecule: ribosomal RNA, 490 nt
Filed under: uncultured bacterium
Lineage: Bacteria
Description: partial 16S ribosomal RNA
Rfam family: Bacterial small subunit ribosomal RNA
Source: RNAcentral
AUUGAACGCUGGCGGCAGGCCUAACACAUGCAAGUCGAACGGUAACAGGAAGAAGCUUGCUUCUUUGCUGACGAGUGGCGGACGGGUGAGUAAUGUCUGGGAAACUGCCUGAUGGAGGGGGAUAACUACUGGAAACGGUAGCUAAUGCCGCAUAACGUCGCAAGACCAAAGAGGGGUAGCUUGGUGCCUCGGUUGAUCGGAGGUGCCCAGAUGGGAUUAGCUAGUAGGUGGGGUAACGGCUCACCUAGGCGACGAUCCCUAGCUGGUCUGAGGGGAUGACCAGCCACACUGGAACUGAGACACGGUCCAGACUCCUACGGGAGGCAGCAGUGGGGAAUAUUGCACAAUGGGCGCAAGCCUGAUGCAGCCAUGCCGCGUGUAUGAAGAAGGCCUUCGGGUUGUAAAGUACUUUCAGCGGGGAGGAAGGGAGUAAAGUUAAUACCUUUGCUCAUUGACGUUACCCGCAGAAGAAGCACCGGCUAACUCCGUG